GAUGAAGAACGCAGCGAAAUGCGAUAAGUAAUGUGAAUUGCAGAAUUCAGUGAAUCAUCGAAUCUUUGAACGCACAUUGCGCCCCCUGGUAUUCCGGGGGGCAUGCCUGUUCGAGCGUCAUUUCACCACUCAAGCCUCGCUUGGUAUUGGGCAACGCGGUCCGCCGCGUGCCUCAAAUCGACCGGCUGGGUCUUCUGUCCCCUAAGCGUUGUGGAAACUUUCGCUAAAGGGUGUUCGGGAGGCUACGCCGUAAAACAACCCCAUUUCUAAGGUUGACCUCGGAUCAGGUAGGGAUACCCGCUGAACUUAAGCAUAUCAAUAAGUGGAGGA
This 330-nucleotide unclassified non-coding RNA is filed under the name soil metagenome. RNAcentral describes it as "partial contains 5.8S ribosomal RNA, internal transcribed spacer 2, and large subunit ribosomal RNA". The stretch from base 1 to 120 matches the Rfam family "5.8S ribosomal RNA", at positions 35 to 154 of the family's 154-position model. The record is from RNAcentral.